ACGGUCAUCUGAAAUACGACAUGGUUUGUGGACAUGAGCUCAUACGCACCUCGCAUCCUGCUCCGCUGUAACCGCCGCCGCUGGUAGCUUGCCGUCUGCACACACACACACACACACACGCACGCACGCACGCACGCACACACACACCACUUCUCCGACCAUCGCUACUUUUGUAAAAGAAGCAAAAAAAACCAAAAACAACUAUUGCACUCGUACGUCUUAUUGCAUAUCUGACGCGCUUCUUAGCCCACACACACACACACACACACACACACACGCACACAACAACACACACUCGGAGGGAAGAGACAAGUCCUGUCACCAGCGUGGAUAGAGGCAGGCAGGGUGGAGGGGGGGGGCUCGCCUGCUUUAGCAGUGCUAGUAGCAGCCGGGGGACUGUGGAAAUUUGACUACUGCUAAAAACCCAACUGUAAAUACAUGUGGCUGGCUUCGAACGAUGCCCUAAUCGACCGGAGUCGCCAGCCGUCCAGCAACGAGGACGUUUCGCCACCCGAAGCGGACUGCGAUUAAGAUGGAGAGCCAGAAAAAGAGGAGGAAAUACUCCACGAGCAGCAACGACUCAGACACCACUGACAGUCAGGUGACGUCGUGGUCCAGAUCGGCCAACAACACAGGGACCAGCAGCACCUGGGUCCUACACCAACACAAGAAACCAUCGGAGGU
Molecule: long non-coding RNA, 684 nt
Organism: Lampris incognitus (smalleye Pacific opah)
Lineage: Eukaryota; Metazoa; Chordata; Actinopteri; Lampriformes; Lampridae
Exons: 3
Source: RefSeq, a predicted model, not a curated record